UGGGGAAUAUUGCACAAUGGGCGCAAGCCUGAUGCAGCGACGCAGCGUGAGGGAUGACGGCCUUCGGGUUGUAAACCUCUUUUACCAGGGACGAAGCGCAAGUGACGGUACCUGGAGAAGAAGCACCGGCCAACUACGUGCCAGCAGCCGCGGUAAUACGUAGGGUGCGAGCGUUGUCCGGAAUUACUGGGCGUAAAGAGCUCGUAGGCGGUUUGUCGCGUCGUCUGUGAAAUUCUGCAACUCAAUUGGAGGCGUGCAGGCGAUACGGGCAGACUGGAGUAGUGCGGGGGGGACUGGAAUUCCUGGUGUGGCGGUGAAAUGCGCAGUUAUCAGGAGGAACACCGGUGGCGAAGGCGGGUCUCUGGGUGGUAACUGACGCUGAGGGGCGAAAGCGUGGGUAGCGAACAGG
Molecule: ribosomal RNA, 409 nt
Filed under: Acidobacteriota bacterium
Lineage: Bacteria; Pseudomonadati; Acidobacteriota
Description: Acidobacteria bacterium partial 16S ribosomal RNA
Rfam family: Bacterial small subunit ribosomal RNA
Source: RNAcentral